This 439-nucleotide ribosomal RNA is filed under the name uncultured bacterium. Its description in RNAcentral is "partial 16S ribosomal RNA". It matches the Rfam family "Bacterial small subunit ribosomal RNA", at positions 339 to 795 of the family's 1533-position model. The record is from RNAcentral.
CUACGGGGCGCUGCAGUGGGGAAUAUUGCACAAUGGAGGAAACUCUGAUGCAGCAACGCCGCGUGGAGGAUGACACUUUUCGGAGCGUAAACUCCUUUUAUAUAGGAAGAAGAUGACGGUACUAUAUGAAUAAGCGCCGGCUAACUCCGUGCCAGCAGCCGCGGUAAUAGGGAGGGCGCAAGCGUUACUCGGAAUCACUGGGCGUAAAGAGCGUGUAGGCGGAUUAAAAAGUCAGAAGUGAAAUCCUAUAGCUUAACUAUAGAACUGCUUCUGAAACUCUUAAUCUAGAAUAUGGGAGAGGUAGAUGGAAUUUCUGGUGUAGGGGUAAAAUCCGUAGAGAUCAGAAGGAAUACCGAUUGCGAAGGCGAUCUACUAGAACAUUAUUGACGCUGAGACGCGAAAGCGUGGGGAGCAAACAGGAUUAGAUACCCGGGUAGUC